UCGAUUUGGAGUUUGUUGCCUAGAGUGAUGGGCUCCGAAGCUAACGCGAUAAAUCGACCGCCUGGGGAGUACGGCCGCAAGGUUAAAACUCAAAUGAAUUGACGGGGGCCCGCACAAGCGGUGGAGCAUGUGGUUUAAUUCGAUGCAACGCGAAGAACCUUACCUGGUCUUGACAUCCACAGAAUCUUGCAGAGAUGCGAGAGUGCCUUCGGGAACUGUGAGACAGGUGCUGCAUGGCUGUCGUCAGCUCGUGUUGUGAAAUGUUGGGUUAAGUCCCGCAACGAGCGCAACCCUUGUCCUUUGUUGCCAGCGAUUCGGUCGGGAACUCAAAGGAGACUGCCGUUGAUAAAGCGGAGGAAGGUGGGGACGACGUCAAGUCAUCAUGGCCCUUACGACCAGGGCUACACACGUGCUACAAUGGCGUAUACAAAGGGAGGCGACCUCGCGAGAGCAAGCGGACCUCAUAAAGUACGUCUAAGUCCGGAUUGGAGUCUGCAACUCGACUCCAUGAAGUCGGAAUCGCUAGUAAUCGUGAAUCAGAAUGUCACGGUGAAUACGUUCCCGGGCCU
This 569-nucleotide ribosomal RNA is filed under the name uncultured Gammaproteobacteria bacterium. RNAcentral's name for it is "bacterial SSU rRNA". It matches the Rfam family "Bacterial small subunit ribosomal RNA", at positions 812 to 1381 of the family's 1533-position model. The record is from RNAcentral. Lineage: Bacteria; Pseudomonadati; Pseudomonadota; Gammaproteobacteria.